This 466-nucleotide unclassified non-coding RNA is filed under the name Pavona explanulata. RNAcentral describes it as "sequence contains 5.8S rRNA gene, ITS2 and 28S rRNA gene". The stretch from base 297 to 450 matches the Rfam family "5.8S ribosomal RNA". Lineage: Eukaryota; Metazoa; Cnidaria; Anthozoa; Scleractinia; Agariciidae. The record is from RNAcentral.
GCGGCGGAUGCCGGAAAGUUGGUCAAACUUGAUCAUUUAGAGGAAGUAAAAGUCGUAACAAGGUUUCCGUAGGUGAACCUGCGGAAGGAUCAUUACCGAUGAAACAAUCCAAGACGAGUCUUUGAGGCUUGUUUACUGUGUGAACUGUACGCAAUCUCUUAGGGGUCGGUCUUCGUGCCGUUAAAUGGUCGUCCGUCGCUUGGCGUGCGUUCGGUCAGCCCCGACUUUAUGUUUUUACAAACUUUGUUUAGUCAGUCUGAGACCCAAUAGUGUUGGAAAACGAAAAAGAGAGAGACAACUUUUAACGGUGGAUCUCUUGGCUCACGCAUCGAUGAAGAACGCAGCCAGCUGCGAUAAGUAGUGUGAAUUGCAGAAUUCAGUGAAUCAUCGAAUCUUUGAACGCAAAUGGCGCUCUUGGGUUCUCCCAGGAGCAUGUCUGCCUGAGUGUCGGAUAUCAUCCAACGCC